CGGGGGGAGCAAGCGUUGUUCGGAUUUACUGGGCGUAAAGGGCGGGUAGGCGGCCACCGCAAGUCGACUGUGAAAUCUCCGGGCUUAACUCGGAAAGGUCAGCCGAUACUGCGGGGCUAGAGUGCAGAAGGGGCAACUGGAAUUCUCGGUGUAGCGGUGAAAUGCGUAGAUAUCGAGAGGAACACCUGCGGCGAAGGCGGGUUGCUGGGCUGACACUGACGCUGAACUGCGAAAGCUAGGGGAGCGAACGGGAUUAGAUACCCCGGUAGUCCUAGCCUUAAACGAUGAAUGCUUGGUGUCUGGGGUUUUAUAGUCCCCGGGUGCCGUCGCUAACGCUUUAAGCAUUCCGCCUGGGGAGUACGGUCGCAAGACUG
Molecule: ribosomal RNA, 374 nt
Filed under: uncultured organism
Description: bacterial SSU rRNA
Rfam family: Bacterial small subunit ribosomal RNA
Source: RNAcentral